UGGGGAAUAUUGGACAAUGGGCGAAAGCCUGAUCCAGCCAUGCCGCGUGAGCGAUGAAGGCCCUAGGGUUGUAAAGCUCUUUCAACGGUGAAGAUAAUGACGGUAACCGUAGAAGAAGCCCCGGCUAACUUCGUGCCAGCAGCCGCGGUAAUACGAAGGGGGCUAGCGUUGUUCGGAAUUACUGGGCGUAAAGCGCACGUAGGCGGAUAUUUAAGUCAGGGGUGAAAUCCCGGGGCUCAACCCCGGAACUGCCUUUGAUACUGGGUAUCAUGAGUUCGAGAGAGGUGAGUGGAAUUCCGAGUGUAGAGGUGAAAUUCGUAGAUAUUCGGAGGAACACCAGUGGCGAAGGCGGCUCACUGGCUCGAUACUGACGCUGAGGUGCGAAAGCGUGGGGAGCAAACAG
This 403-nucleotide ribosomal RNA is filed under the name uncultured bacterium. Its description in RNAcentral is "bacterial SSU rRNA". It matches the Rfam family "Bacterial small subunit ribosomal RNA", at positions 355 to 775 of the family's 1533-position model. The record is from RNAcentral.